UGGGGAAUUUUGGACAAUGGGCGCAAGCCUGAUCCAGCAAUGCCGCGUGUGUGAAGAAGGCCUUCGGGUUGUAAAGCACUUUUGUCAGGGAAGAAAAGGCUCGCCCUAAGAGGGGGAGUUGAUGACGGUACCUGAAGAAUAAGCACCGGCUAACUACGUGCCAGCAGCCGCGGUAAUACGUAGGGUGCGAGCGUUAAUCGGAAUGACUGGGCGUAAAGCGUGCGUAGGCGGCUGGUUAAGACGGAUGUGAAAUCCCCGGGCUCAACCUGGGAACGGCAUACGUGACUGGCCAGCUAGAGUAUGGCAGAGGGGGGUGGAAUUCCACGUGUAGCAGUGAAAUGCGUAGAGAUGUGGAGGAACACCGAUGGCGAAGGCAGCCCCCUGGGCCGUGACUGACGCUGAUGCACGAAAGCGUGGGGAGCAAACAGG
Molecule: ribosomal RNA, 429 nt
Filed under: uncultured bacterium
Lineage: Bacteria
Description: bacterial SSU rRNA
Rfam family: Bacterial small subunit ribosomal RNA
Source: RNAcentral